Suricata suricatta (meerkat) is the source of this 221-nucleotide long non-coding RNA. RefSeq lists it as uncharacterized. Lineage: Eukaryota; Metazoa; Chordata; Mammalia; Carnivora; Herpestidae. The transcript is spliced from 3 exons. The record is from RefSeq and is a predicted model, not a curated record.
AACAAAACGUUUUUGUGUCCUCCUAAAAUAUGGUGUCUAUGUGCCUCACGGACAACUCAACCCCUGUUAAGAACCCAGAUUCUAGAGCCAGACUGCCUUGGUUCAAAUCCUAGCAUCUCUACUUUGCAGUUGUUUGACAUGAGGUCUAUAAAGGAAAGAGUUGAGAAGAAUAAAUUGGACUGAAAAGAAGCACACUUUAGGGGAUAUGGAAUGAACUCAAG